Molecule: ribosomal RNA, 470 nt
Filed under: uncultured bacterium
Lineage: Bacteria
Description: bacterial SSU rRNA
Rfam family: Bacterial small subunit ribosomal RNA
Source: RNAcentral
ACGCUGGCGGCGUGCCUAACACAUGCAAGUCGAACGGACGAGGGGAGCUUGCUCCCCAAGUUAGUGGCGGACGGGUGAGUAACACGUGAGCAACCUGCCCUUCGGAGGGGGACAACAGCUGGAAACGGCUGCUAAUACCGCAUGACACAGCGGGGAGGCAUCUCCCUGCUGUCAAAGAUUUUAUCGCCGAAGGAUGGGCUCGCGUCUGAUUAGAUAGUUGGUGAGGUAACGGCCCACCAAGUCAACGAUCAGUAGCCGGACUGAGAGGUUGAACGGCCACAUUGGGACUGAGAUACGGCCCAGACUCCUACGGGAGGCAGCAGUGGGGAAUAUUGGGCAAUGGGGGGCAACCCUGACCCAGCAACGCCGCGUGAAGGAAGAAGGCUUUCGGGUUGUAAACUUCUUUGACGAGGGACGGUAGUGACGGUACCUCGAAAACAAGCCACGGCUAACUACGUGCCAGCCGCUGC